CGGCACGGGUGAGUAACACGUAUCCAACCUGCCGUCUACUCUUGGACAGCCUCUGAAAGGAAGAUUAAUACAAGAUGGCAUCAUGAGUCCGCAUGUUCACAUGAUUAAAGGUAUUCCGGUAGACGAUGGGGAUGCGUUCCAUUAGAUAGUAGGCGGGGUAACGGCCCACCUAGUCUUCGAUGGAUAGGGGUUCUGAGAGGAAGGUCCCCCACAUUGGAACUGAGACACGGUCCAA
This 235-nucleotide ribosomal RNA is filed under the name uncultured bacterium. RNAcentral's name for it is "partial 16S ribosomal RNA". It matches the Rfam family "Bacterial small subunit ribosomal RNA", at positions 100 to 334 of the family's 1533-position model. The record is from RNAcentral.